Molecule: small nuclear RNA, 100 nt
Filed under: Nannospalax galili (Upper Galilee mountains blind mole rat)
Lineage: Eukaryota; Metazoa; Chordata; Mammalia; Rodentia; Spalacidae
Source: RNAcentral
GCUCCCUUCUGCAGUGUGUACUAAAAUUGAAACCAGAAAGAUGCAUGCAUGGUUCCUGCAAAAGGAUGACAGAAAAAUCCAUGCUGUUCUCCAUUUUUUA